CCUACGGGAGGCAGCAGUGGGGAAUAUUGCACAAUGGGCGCAAGCCUGAUGCAGCCAUGCCGCGUGUGUGAAGAAGGCCUUCGGGUCGUAAAGCACUUUCAGCGGGGAGGAAGGCGGUGAGGUUAAUAACCUCAUCGAUUGACGUUACCCGCAGAAGAAGCACCGGCUAACUCCGUGCCAGCAGCCGCGGUAAUACGGAGGGUGCAAGCGUUAAUCGGAAUUACUGGGCGUAAAGCGCACGCAGGCGGUCUGUCAAGUCGGAUGUGAAAUCCCCGGGCUCAACCUGGGAACUGCACUCGAAACUGGCAGGCUAGAGUCUUGUAGAAGGGGGUAGAAGUCCAGGUGUAGCGGUGAAAUGCGUAGAGAUCUGGAGGAAUACCGGUGGCGAAGGCGGCCCCCUGGACAAAGACUGACGCUCAGGUGCGAAAGCGUGGGGAGCAAACAGGAUUAGAUACCCUUGUAGUC
This 465-nucleotide ribosomal RNA is filed under the name uncultured Klebsiella sp. RNAcentral's name for it is "bacterial SSU rRNA". It matches the Rfam family "Bacterial small subunit ribosomal RNA", at positions 338 to 795 of the family's 1533-position model. The record is from RNAcentral. Lineage: Bacteria; Pseudomonadati; Pseudomonadota; Gammaproteobacteria; Enterobacterales; Enterobacteriaceae.